RNAcentral lists this ribosomal RNA (258 nucleotides) under uncultured bacterium. RNAcentral describes it as "partial 16S ribosomal RNA". It matches the Rfam family "Bacterial small subunit ribosomal RNA", at positions 96 to 354 of the family's 1533-position model. The record is from RNAcentral.
CGGCGGACGGGUGAGUAACGCGUGGACAACCUGCCCUAUGCAGGGGGAUAACAUCCGGAAACGGGUGCUAAUACCGCAUAAGCGCACAGUACCGCAUGGUACAGUGUGAAAAGCUGAGGCGGCAUAGGAUGGGUCCGCGUUGGAUUAGGCAGUUGGCGGGGUAACGGCCCAUCAAACCGACGAUCCAUAGCCGGCCUGAGAGGGUGGACGGCCACAUUGGGACUGAGACACGGCCCAGACUCCUACGGGAGGCAGCAG